Molecule: ribosomal RNA, 386 nt
Filed under: uncultured eukaryote
Lineage: Eukaryota
Description: SSU rRNA
Rfam family: Eukaryotic small subunit ribosomal RNA
Source: RNAcentral
AGCUCCAAUAGUUUAUAUUAAAGUUGUUGCGGUUAAAAAGCUCGUAGUUGGAACUUGGCGCGCAGGGGGCGGUCCAUUAUUUGAUGCGACUGCCCCAUUUGCGCGUUUUUCUCGGUGGAAUUCCUAGGGUGCUCUUCACCGAGUGUCCUUGGAGGCCGCCAGGUUUACUUUGAAAAAAUUAGAGUGCUCCAAGCAGGCUCGACACGCCUGAAUAUCCGUGCAUGGAAUAAUGGAAUAGGACGUCGUUCCUAUUUUGUUGGUUUUAGGGAUUCGACGUAAUGAUUAAUAGGGACAGCCGGGGGCAUUAGUAUGCAGACGACAGAGGUGAAAUUCUUGGACCGUCUGCCGACUAACUACUGCGAAAGCAUUUGCCAAGAGUGUUUUCA